Molecule: ribosomal RNA, 650 nt
Filed under: Schistocerca piceifrons peruviana
Lineage: Eukaryota; Metazoa; Arthropoda; Insecta; Orthoptera; Acrididae
Description: partial 16S ribosomal RNA
Source: RNAcentral
UAUUUAUUUUAUUAUAUUUAUUUUUUGUUUAUUUAAUUAUUUAAUAAAAAUAAUUUUGUUGAAUUUUGUCUUAGUAUAUUUUGUAGAAUUGAUUUUUUAUAUUAUAGUUUAUUGGUAAUGUAAUUGUUUUAUGAAAUAUUAUUUUAAAUUUUUAAAAGUAGAUUUUAUUUAUUGUACCUUUUGUAUCAGGGUUUAUCAAAAUUUUAGUAUUUACUUUACUUGUCUCGAUUUGGGUUGAUUUAUAAAUAAUUUAUAGUUAAUGUAUCAUAAUUCUUAUUAAAUUAUUUAUAGAAAUGAGAUGUUAACCGUUUCCCAAGAUAUCUAGUUUCUUAAGAAAAAAUUUAAUUUUUUAAAGUUAAUUGUUUUUAUUUAAUUUUUUAAGUAUAAAUAUUAACUUAUUUAUUCUUUAAGGGAUAAGCUUUGAAGUUAAUAACCUAUAAUUUGUUUUAAUAAAAUAUAAUAGUAAGCUUUAAACCNGCUAUCUUUAAGAUUACGUUUUAGUUCAUUAUUUUUAUUUUUGAUUUUAUAACUAUUUUAGGUUUUUUAUUAAGAUUAUAAAUUUAAUUUUUAAAUUUUUGUAAUAAUGAUAGAAUUAGUACAUUUAUUUGUAGAUAAUUUUUACCUUGUUAAUUUAUUAUAAGGAACUAGGC